UGUAAACAAAUCUAAUGUAUAUAUGUUUAUUUCUUUAAUAGGCCAAUUGCCAACAUGACAAAUACAUCAUACAUACUUUCAAAAGCGCAUUGCCAACAUUUGCCUUCCCCUUCCCCCCACCCA
This is a long non-coding RNA of Haliotis rubra (blacklip abalone), 123 nucleotides long. RefSeq lists it as uncharacterized. The transcript has 3 exons. The record is from RefSeq and is a predicted model, not a curated record. NCBI's taxonomy places the organism in Eukaryota, Metazoa, Mollusca, Gastropoda, Lepetellida, Haliotidae.